UGAACGACUCUCGGCAACGGAUAUCUCGGCUCUUGCAUCGAUGAAGAACGUAGCGAAAUGCGAUACUUGGUGUGAAUUGCAGAAUCCCGUGAACCAUCGAGUCUUUGAACGCAAGUUGCGCCCGAGGCCUUCUGGCCGAGGGCACGUCUGCCUGGGCGUCACGC
This 164-nucleotide ribosomal RNA is filed under the name Dichocarpum sutchuenense. Its description in RNAcentral is "5.8S ribosomal RNA". It matches the Rfam family "5.8S ribosomal RNA". From Rfam's summary of the family: 5.8S ribosomal RNA (5.8S rRNA) is a component of the large subunit of the eukaryotic ribosome. It is transcribed by RNA polymerase I as part of the 45S precursor that also contains 18S and 28S rRNA. Lineage: Eukaryota; Viridiplantae; Streptophyta; Magnoliopsida; Ranunculales; Ranunculaceae. RNAcentral also lists the same sequence under 1 other name. The record is from RNAcentral.